RNAcentral lists this ribosomal RNA (200 nucleotides) under uncultured bacterium. Its description in RNAcentral is "partial 16S ribosomal RNA". It matches the Rfam family "Bacterial small subunit ribosomal RNA", at positions 8 to 238 of the family's 1533-position model. The record is from RNAcentral.
AGAGUUUGAUCCUGGCUCAGAGCGAACGCUGGCGGCAGGCCUAAUACAUGCAAGUCGAACGGAUCCUUCGGGAUUAGUGGCGGACGGGUGAGUAACACGUGGGAACGUGCCCUUUGGUUCGGAACAACUCAGGGAAACUUGAGCUAAUACCGGAUAAGCUUCGGGGGAAAGAUUUAUCGCCAUUGGAGCGGCCCGCGUCU